This 783-nucleotide unclassified non-coding RNA is filed under the name Veillonella parvula. RNAcentral's name for it is "partial contains 16S ribosomal RNA, 16S-23S ribosomal RNA intergenic spacer, and 23S ribosomal RNA". The stretch from base 675 to 783 matches the Rfam family "Bacterial large subunit ribosomal RNA", at positions 1 to 109 of the family's 2925-position model. The record is from RNAcentral. Lineage: Bacteria; Bacillati; Bacillota; Negativicutes; Veillonellales; Veillonellaceae.
UCGGAAGGUGCGGCUGGAUCACCUCCUUUCUAGGGAGACAUACACCAAGCCAAGAGCUUGGAUGUCACUUAGGUCGACACUUUGGCACCUAACAUUGUUCGGUUUUGAGAGAUCUGUUAUCUACAAGAUAAUAAUUUCUCAUUAUAUUAAAUGGGCCUAUAGCUCAGCUGGUUAGAGCGCACGCCUGAUAAGCGUGAGGUCGGUGGUUCGAGUCCACCUAGGCCCACCAUUUAAUACAUGGGGGCGUAGCUCAGUUGGGAGAGCACCUGCCUUGCAAGCAGGGGGUCAGGAGUUCGAAUCUCCUCGUCUCCACCAUUUAGUAUUUGACAGCGAGCCUGUGAUAUACUAAUUGUUUGUUCUUUGAAAACUGCAUAGAAGAUAAUUAUAUAUAUUUGUAAGGUCAUCUCUUAGAAUUUCUAAGUAGGUUGACCCGAGCACAUAGGAAAUAAUUCUCUGACUUAAUGGUGACGUACAUGAAAAUGUACGGCUACAAAAAACGACAAUGUAUCUAAUACAUGUCAAUAUUAUCUCUCAUGUAUUCAAUCAUGAGAUUUUCGUUAGCAUUUGAUGCAUAUCUAGGAGCCUGAGCGAGAUGAAGCCGCCGCGUACUAUUGUACGUAAGGCAAAAUCGAGCGUGAGGCGACGACGAUAGGCGCAAAUGAUAACGCAAAAUAAGUAAAGAUAAUAAGGGCGUACGGUGGAUGCCUUGGCGAUAUCAGCCGAAGAAGGACGCGGUAAGCUGCGAUAAGCUACGGAGAGGUGCAAGCAACCUGUGACCCGUAG